RNAcentral lists this ribosomal RNA (301 nucleotides) under uncultured bacterium. RNAcentral's name for it is "partial 16S ribosomal RNA". It matches the Rfam family "Bacterial small subunit ribosomal RNA", at positions 509 to 809 of the family's 1533-position model. The record is from RNAcentral.
CAGCAGCCGCGGUAAUACGAAGGGGGCUAGCGUUGUUCGGAAUUACUGGGCGUAAAGGGCGCGUAGGCGGCCAUUCAAGUUAGAUGUGAAAGCCCUGGGCUCAACCUAGGAAUUGCAUUUGAUACUGUUUGGCUUGAGUUCGGGAGAGGUGAGUGGAAUUCCCAGUGUAGAGGUGAAAUUCGUAGAUAUUGGGAAGAACACCAGUGGCGAAGGCGGCUCACUGGACCGACACUGACGCUGAGGCGCGAAAGCGUGGGGAGCAAACAGGAUUAGAUACCCGCGUAGUCCCUGUCUCUUAUAA